UCCGUCUAGAUACAAUAACUAAUUAGUAUUUUAAUAACUUAAAUUGCAUGGCUUGAUCGUCUGUUUGAGUCUUCUCUUAUGUAUGAGUGCACCAUGUGUGGGUUAAUUUUUUUGGGUCUUCUAAUUCUCUGCGGUAAUUUGCAUCUAUAUUUGUGCUAAUUGGCAAGGUGCAUGAAUAAUGAUUUAUCUAAGUUUUUUGCUUAAUGGAAAGGCCUUUUCAGUUAAAAAAUCCUACUGAUUUGAUCAAGAGAACAUGCGUCUGUUUUUAAAUAGCUGAAUUUCUACUUAUUUAAUUGACUAUUGUGGUGUCAAGAUCCAAUAGCCUUGCUAUUAGUUAAUGCUCUAUUUAUAUUUUCUUCCAACAAAACAAAUGUAUGUUUACAGCAAAAAAACUCGUUAUUUCCAGCAAAAACAAUGGCUCGCUGUCGCCAGGUCGCAGCAAAAGUUUUGGCCGGUCCCAUAAGAAAAUUAGUUCCAACAAAAAAAGAUUGUUGUCGCGGUCACAGGUACUAUACUCUACGCCUCCGGAAGAUGUGCAUUAAUGGUUGGCUGUUAUAAUACAUAUAUGUAAGAUUUCAUGUUAUACCAGCUUAGCAGAACUUCACGGAAAUUUGCUAGAGGUGUUGCAACAGCCUUGAUCAAAUAUUAUUUUCAUUAUUCCUUCUUGGUUUGAGACAAUAACAGUAGAUAAUCUUCAUCGAAAUUUGCUAGAGAAGUUCCAACAGCUUUGAUCAAAUAUUAUUUUUAUUAUUCCUUCUUGGUUUUAGACAAUAAAGUAUAGAAUCUAAAUCCUUCUACUUUAUGUGUACUUGUAAUAGAGCAACGCUUGGUGCAGCUAGCUGCAACAAGGACCAACUUGACUUGAUGGGGAUACAAUCACCAAGAAAGAAUCAUACCUGAACUUACCUUUAUGCAUUGCACGAACUACCAAGAUAUUGUAUCUUCCUGUAUGAUCCGUAACUCAUAGACACAUGAGUAGCGAUGGAUACUAUUUGGUAUGAACAACAUCAUCAUCUUGCAAUUCUAACAUGUAUUCAUUAACUUAUUUAUCCACAUAAUAGUGAUGCAUCUUACGUUUCUGUCUAUUGUAUCUGAAUCUAAAAUGCAAUUAACUCCUUAAUUUGCCUUCAGCAGGAUUGAGCGAUCUGGCAUGUAAGCUUAGCUCGGUGGUUCAGAUUAUCACUGUUAGUCUUCUGGUCGUGGCAAUUUUUAGACCUCUUGAGGUAGCUCAACGAAUCUGGUGUGAAGCUAUGAAGGGAUUUUUCUUGAAAACAAUACUGAAAGGAUACCUUAACUUCAUUUUAUCCCCUAGAUUAGUAUACGUAUAUUCAGUCCCCAUUUAUUUUAGAUGUAUAGCUUGCAUGACAGUUUUGUUUAAACAGAUUUUUGGGGCAUUUUGCAAUUCUCACAUAUGUUGUUAUCCAUGCACUUACUUUUAUCAUUUCCAGUGUCAAUGCUUACAAAAUUGUUAAAUCUUUUUUUAUUGGAGUUCAGCCAUGUUUUUCACCAAGGAUUCAACUUGCAAGCAUCUGAAUCUUAUGUUGUCC
RNAcentral lists this long non-coding RNA (1547 nucleotides) under Triticum aestivum (bread wheat). RNAcentral's name for it is "long non-coding RNA (TAES_LNC000662)". The record is from RNAcentral. Lineage: Eukaryota; Viridiplantae; Streptophyta; Magnoliopsida; Poales; Poaceae.